UACGUAGGUGGCAAGCGUUAUCCGGAUUUACUGGGCGUAAAGGGAGCGCAGGCGGACAUUUAAGUGAGAUGUGAAAUACCCGGGCUCAACCUGGGUGCUGCAUUUCAAACUGGAAGUCUAGAGUGCAGGAGAGGAGAAUGGAAUUCCUAGUGUAGCGGUGAAAUGCGUAGAGAUUAGGAAGAACACCAGUGGCGAAGGCGAUUCUCUGGGCUGUUACUGACGCUGAGGCUCGAAAGCGUGGGGAGCAAACAGG
RNAcentral lists this ribosomal RNA (253 nucleotides) under uncultured bacterium. RNAcentral describes it as "partial 16S ribosomal RNA". It matches the Rfam family "Bacterial small subunit ribosomal RNA", at positions 524 to 776 of the family's 1533-position model. The record is from RNAcentral.